AGUGGCGGACGGGUGAGUAACGCGUGAGAAUCUGCCCUUAGGACGGGGACAACAGCUGGAAACGGCUGCUAAUACCCGAUGUGCCGAGAGGUGAAACAUUUAUGGCCUGAGGAUGAGCUCGCGUCUGAUUAGCUAGUUGGUGGGGUAAGAGCCUACCAAGGCAACGAUCAGUAGCUGGUCUGAGAGGAUGAUCAGCCACACUGGGACUGAGACACGGCCCAGACUCCUACGGGAGGCAGCAGCGGGGAAUUUUCCGCAAUGGGCGCAAGCCUGACGGAGCAAGACCGCGUGCGGGAGGACGGCCUAUUGGUUGUAAACCGCUUUUGAUAGGGAAGAAGUUCUGACGGUACCUAUCGAAUCAGCAUCGGCUAACUCCGUGCCAGCAGCCGCGGUAAUACGGAGGAUGCAAGCGUUAUCCGGAAUUAUUGGGCGUAAAGCGUCCGUAGGUGGUUGUUCAAGUCUGCUGUUAAAGCGUGCGGCUUAACCGCAUAUCAGCAGUGGAAACUGGACGACUAGAGUGCGGUAGGGGUCAGGGGAAUUCCCAGUGUAGCGGUGAAAUGCGUAGAUAUUGGGAAGAACACCGGUGGCGAAAGCGCCUGACUGGACCUGCACUGACACUGAGGGACGAAAGCUAGGGGAGCGAAAGGGAUUAGAUACCCCUGUAGUCCUAGCCGUAAACGAUGGACACUAGGUGUUG
Molecule: ribosomal RNA, 697 nt
Filed under: uncultured Chroococcales cyanobacterium
Lineage: Bacteria; Bacillati; Cyanobacteriota; Cyanophyceae; Chroococcales
Description: bacterial SSU rRNA
Rfam family: Bacterial small subunit ribosomal RNA
Source: RNAcentral